RNA transcript from Ostrinia furnacalis (Asian corn borer), 2574 nucleotides. It is a transcript of the gene named glucose dehydrogenase [FAD, quinone]-like, with no coding region annotated. The record is from RefSeq and is a predicted model, not a curated record. The transcript has 5 exons. NCBI's taxonomy places the organism in Eukaryota, Metazoa, Arthropoda, Insecta, Lepidoptera, Crambidae.
GGCGUUUUGUGUGGCAAGUAGUGCACGUAGACGCCACCGGAUACACGUGCGCGGCGCGUCUAUACAAAAUAUAUUAAAAAGUGUGUUAAGUCGCCGUCGCUGGCCACCGGUGGCUGUGGUCGGUGGCUCAUUUGCGCCGAGCCUAAAGUCAGUAUAGUAUGCGGGGAGUCUAACUGGUUGUUAAAUAGCCGUUCUUGAAUAAAAUUGCAAGGCAAAUGGAACUGAAUACAUCAGUCUAACAGAAGCCAUGGAUGUAGUAACUAGUACGUUGUCGAGUUGGGCUACAGCACAAAAUGCUUUCAGAGUGAUAUCUCUGCUUCAUUUAACGGCCUUCCGGUACCCAGAACAAGCAAACGUAAGAGAUGGCGCGUCGUUCGACUACAUAGUGCUGGGCGCGGGCUCGGCGGGCUGCGUGCUGGCCAACAGGCUCAGCGAGGACCCGAGGGUGACGGUGCUGCUGGUCGAGGCCGGCGGGGACCCGCCUCUAGAGUCCAACCUACCGGCAUUGGUGGCUUACAACUUGAACUCUCAAAACGACUGGAACUACACUACUUCUACUAAUACAACAUGCACUGAUUAUAAAUGUCACGUUAACGACGUGAAUGAGUUGACACGAGGAAGGAUGCUAGGUGGAUCUAGCAGUCUUAACAUCAUGUAUUACGUGCGAGGCGACCCACAUGAUUAUGACACAUGGGCAAAUAUUACAAAUGAUCAAAGCUGGAGUUACAACAACAUUUUACCAUACUUCAUCAAAAGCGAGAGAAUGGAAACUACUGCCAUUCUGAAUUCCCCAACCGGUAUUUUUCAUGGAGCCAACGGAUACUUAGGUGUAAGUCAACCAUAUAACAUCGAAGCAAAAAAGUAUUUAGAUGCUAUUCAGGAACUUGGGUACAAUACUGUUCUCGAUACGAAUGGAAAUAAUACGUUAGGAUUCAUGCAGACACAAUUAACAAUAGCUGAUGGUAUUCGCCAAAGCACGGCAAAUGCUUUUUUAUCACCAAUAAAAAAUCGACCAAAUCUUUACGUCCUCAAAAACCAUUUAGCAACAAAGAUCAAUUUCGAAAACCAGACGGCUGUAAGCGUGAAUGUCAACAACGAAAAUGGUCAGACAAUAACAGUGAAAGCAAGUAAAGAAAUAAUUUUGUCGGGUGGAGCGAUCAACAGCCCACAAUUAUUAAUGCUGUCAGGUAUAGGUCCUAAAAAUCAUCUGGAAGAUUUAGGAAUAAACGUUGUUUCCGAUCUUCCUGUAGGAGAAAAUUUACAAGAUCACAAGCUAGUUACUUUGUAUCAUACAACAGGACCAGCACCCAUUCCCGCGCCUAUUAAUCCUCAUAAAUUUCCUACCAAGGAUAUAGUCGGAUUCGUUACAUUGAAAACAAACCAGUCCUACCCAGAUUAUCAAACAGUAAUUAUAACAGGAGGUCCAGACAUCAUACUUACAUUUUGUGUCCUUAUAAUUGCAUUUGAUGAUGAUAUCUGUCAAAAUUUAUAUGACAGAAGCCAAAACAGAGAAGUAAUGAUAACUGCGUUAACUCCUGUGCAACCGAAAUCCAGGGGUCAACUGCUAUUAAAUAGCACAGAUCCUGAAGAAUAUCCUUUAAUCUACACAGAGCCAUAUUCAGAUGAAAGUGAUCUUGAAAGUGUAGUAAGUUAUUUAGAGGAUUUUUCCCGAAUUAUUAACACAACGUACUUCAAGAGUGUAGAUGCAGAGUUAUUAGAGUUGGAAAAAUGUUCGAGCUACCCUGCUGGCAGCAAAGCUUACUGGCGGUGUUACGCUAAGUGCUUAGUUACCACAUUUUACCACCAAGUGGGCACGUGCGCCAUGGGCUCCGUGGUGGACAGCCGGCUGCGCGUGCGCGGCGUGGAGAGGCUGCGCGUGGUGGACGCCAGCGUCAUGCCCACCAUCACCAGCGGCAACACCAACGCGCCCACCAUCAUGAUCGCCGAGAAAGCCGCUGACAUGAUCAAGGAAGAUAAUAAUAUUAUUAUUCGAAAACGAGACCAUAAGAAACAUAAAUCGCAUGGAUAUAAAGUAUAAAUUAGAGAUAACUAUCAAAGUUAAAAUUGUUUGUUAUUUUAAUUAUUUUCUGAUAUUAAAUUUUUCGUGUGUGUUAAAUCCUAUAGUCCAGACACUUCACUUUUGUUCUGUAAACAAAAAAAUUCGAGCAUCCACAAAUCUAAACAGUGAACAACAAAAAAAUAUAGGCGUAUAUUAUACCUUUGGUCUAUUCGCGGAUUUCGCGGUUAUUGAGCAAGCGUGUACCGCUAUGACGUAAGACUCGACGUUAGCGUAAACCGUGUAAAACUAAGUCCCGUGUCGCCAAUUAGCCAUCCGACACAGGCACGUGCGCGUGCGCUCAACUUUAUAGGAUGCUCCAAUUUUUUGAAUUUAAGAAUAUUAAUUUUUUGUUUUAUUUACAAAAAUUGUUAAUUUUAUUUUUAAAAUAUUUUAUUAUUAACAUACAUGGAUAUUACUUACUUCUUUUUUUUAUUAAUAGUUCACAAUUUUGGAAUGAAAAGUUUCUUUUUAGGGUUCCGUACCUCAAAAGGAAAAAACGGAACCCUUAUAGGAUC